CGCGGCCUAUCAGCUUGUUGGUGAGGUAACGGCUCACCAAGGCGAAGACGGUAGCUGGCGUGAGAGCGCGAUCAGCCACACUGGGACUGAGACACGGCCCAGACUCCUACGGGAGGCAGCAGUGGGGAAUCUUGCGCAAUGGGCGAAAGCCUGACGCAGCGACGCCGCGUGAGGGAGGAAGGCCCUCGGGUCGUAAACCUCUGUCCGGUGGGACGAACCGUGGGUCGGCGACAGCCGGCUCGCCUGACGGUACCGCCGAUAGGAAGCUCCGGCUAACUCCGUGCCAGCAGCCGCGGUAACACGGGGGGAGCAAGCGUUGUCCGGAAUCACUGGGCGUGCAGGGCGCGUAGGCGGCCGAAUAAGUCGCGUGUGAAACCCCAUGGCUCAACUGUGGAGAGCCACGCGAUACUGUUCGGCUAGAGGCAGGCAGGGGCGAGCGGAACUCCCGGUGUAGCGGUGGAAUGCGUAGAUAUCGGGAAGAACACCCGUGGCGAAGGCGGCUCGCUGGGCCUGUACUGACGCUGAAGCGCGAAAGCGUGGGGAGCGAACAGGAUUAGAUACCCUGGUAGUCCACGCCGUAAACGCUGGGCACUAGAUGUUGGAGGGCUAGGUCCCUUCAGUGUCGCAGCUAACGCAUUAAGUGCCCCGCCUGGGGAGUACGG
Molecule: ribosomal RNA, 662 nt
Filed under: uncultured Actinomycetes bacterium
Lineage: Bacteria; Bacillati; Actinomycetota; Actinomycetes
Description: bacterial SSU rRNA
Rfam family: Bacterial small subunit ribosomal RNA
Source: RNAcentral